GGAGAUGUAGCUCAGUGGUGGAGUACUUACCUAAUGUGUGAAAGGCCCUGGGUUCAAUCGCCAGCACCACCA
This 72-nucleotide transfer RNA is filed under the name Ictidomys tridecemlineatus (thirteen-lined ground squirrel). Its description in RNAcentral is "Spermophilus tridecemlineatus (thirteen-lined ground squirrel) tRNA". It matches the Rfam family "tRNA". Rfam says of the family: Transfer RNA (tRNA) molecules are approximately 80 nucleotides in length. Their secondary structure includes four short double-helical elements and three loops (D, anti-codon, and T loops). Further hydrogen bonds mediate the characteristic L-shaped molecular structure. tRNAs have two regions of fundamental functional importance: the anti-codon, which is responsible for specific mRNA codon recognition, and the 3' end, to which the tRNAs corresponding amino acid is attached (by aminoacyl-tRNA synthetases). tRNAs cope with the degeneracy of the genetic code in two manners: having more than one tRNA (with a specific anti-codon) for a particular amino acid; and 'wobble' base-pairing, i.e. permitting non-standard base-pairing at the 3rd anti-codon position. Lineage: Eukaryota; Metazoa; Chordata; Mammalia; Rodentia; Sciuridae. The record is from Rfam by way of RNAcentral.